AUAUUAUAUAUAUUUUUUAUUUCAUACUUUCUAGGAUUCCUCAGCAUCUUCUGGAUGUUCUCCAAAUACUCUGUACUUUCCCAGGACUGCCAACAGACUGCACUGAGCUGCCAAAAUGAGUAUAUAUUUCAAGACACCACUUGGAGUCAGAGAGUGAAUGAAGGACAGGACAUGGGAGCUGGGAACUACCCCCAAGCACCUCUGACUGAGGCUGAUCACACAACGCAGAACUCUGAAUAUAGAGAAAGCAAAGAUAAGAAAGCCAAGAAUGCCCCCACUGCUAGGCUUCUCCUUGACUGGAGUUUUACAAAAAGGCUGCAGAGCAUGCCAGAGAUGUCUGUGCUGUCCUGA
Molecule: long non-coding RNA, 351 nt
Filed under: Numida meleagris (helmeted guineafowl)
Lineage: Eukaryota; Metazoa; Chordata; Aves; Galliformes; Numididae
Description: lncRNA (ENSNMEG00000019337.1)
Source: RNAcentral